This 58-nucleotide transfer RNA is filed under the name Taenia madoquae. RNAcentral's name for it is "tRNA-Arg". Lineage: Eukaryota; Metazoa; Platyhelminthes; Cestoda; Cyclophyllidea; Taeniidae. The record is from RNAcentral.
AGCAUAUAUUUGACUUAUGUUACGGCCAUAAGAUAGGUAUUAUAUAUACCGUAUGUUU